UGAGAUGUGUCAAAUUACAAACUAUUUAUAAAUAAAAUUCGCAAACGUUGAAACUCUUCGACUUUCAUUAACAUCAUAAGAAUCUAUGCACCGGUUCCAAAAUUUUUACCCUUCUAUACGUGUAUCUCCCUAUUCAUCGUCUUCUAAAUCAUCUGCUUCAAACCGAUCAGGAUCUUUUGGUUCCUGAUCUUCGUACCAUUGGGUAGCAUCGUCAAUAUAACUAAGUACUCUGCUUACGCUUUCCUCGUUUCCGCUCUCAAGAGGAAGGAAAUUGACCAUAUUAAAGUCAUCAAUCUAGUCAUUAGCAGAAGCUCGAGGAAUUAUGAUUCUGUGACUUACCAGUUGAACAAUGCACCGAUUAAGUUCGUGAAACUUUGGGUUUGUUGUUUCGUUAAUUUCACCUGUGAGCAAGAGUGGAUCUGUAUUGAGAAACCUUUUUAAUUCCGCUUUUGUAAUGUUAUUGUUGUCUUUGAGUAAAUCCAUUUUGCUCAAUAAGUUAAUAUGCGGGACUUCCAUCAUAACCAUUGCGCUCAUUGCGCUUAAAACACCCGCAAAGAACUUUGUACGGUCAACGAGAAAUUGGCUUUCUAACAGGUAGACAGCACAAGGACGAAAGUUUAGGGUUACUUGAAGAUGGCGAAUUAAUGCUGGUAAAAUUGGUACGUGAGUAUACAAUUCAAUUUGUCCAGGCAUAUCGAAAAUUAAAUAGUCUUCGUCGUAAUCGCCAAUUUCUUCAUUUAACCAAUCUAAGUUUUCCAUCAAAAAUUCGAAACAAUAAAUUAACCCACCAUUAGGGCCGUAGUCCAGCUCUUCCAUAACAUCAUCAAUGGAUAUUAAGUCUCUAAUAUCAACAGUUGGUUCCCAUUCGAAGUUUUCUGCAGCAGGAUCUAAAUUAACUAAAUGGCAAGAACGUCCAACGCUUUUCAUAUAAGACAUUAAUGCUCCACAAAACGUACUUUUACCACUGCUGGCAACACCACAAACAAAAGCUGCCACCUUAACCAUUUUUCUAAAAAGACUAACGUCUUUUGAAACGUCGUGUUCUUUUAUCCUAUGCCUUCUUACCUGUGCCCGUAUGCACCCUUAUAACUCGCCAUGCGAUGCCCUAAGUAUUUUACUGACUUUUAACAACAAAUACUUUAACUGUGAAUAACACGCUCUGUUUAAAUCUUUAAGUCUUGCAGAAUUUACGUUAAACGUCACUAAAAACAUUCAUUUUUUUGAAUACCCCCUAAU
Schizosaccharomyces pombe (fission yeast) is the source of this 1236-nucleotide non-coding RNA. NCBI's taxonomy places the organism in Eukaryota, Fungi, Ascomycota, Schizosaccharomycetes, Schizosaccharomycetales, Schizosaccharomycetaceae. The record is from the annotation of a GenBank genome assembly.